This 111-nucleotide ribosomal RNA is filed under the name uncultured bacterium. RNAcentral's name for it is "partial 16S ribosomal RNA". It matches the Rfam family "Bacterial small subunit ribosomal RNA", at positions 1373 to 1482 of the family's 1533-position model. The record is from RNAcentral.
CCCGGGCCUUGUACACACCGCCCGUCACACCACGAAAGUUGGGUCGCAACCAAAACCGUGAUCAACCCGCAAGGGAGAUAACGGUCCAAGUUGUGACCAAUGAUUGGGGUG